Molecule: non-coding RNA, 1604 nt
Organism: Plectropomus leopardus (leopard coralgrouper)
Lineage: Eukaryota; Metazoa; Chordata; Actinopteri; Perciformes; Serranidae
Source: the annotation of a RefSeq genome assembly
AUGGCAAACAUGUCAGAGGUUUUUGUACGGCGGCUCAAUGACUUUGUAUCACUGUGGUGGACUUUUGGUGGAGGAACCAGACUGGAUGUUGGAAGUGACGUCCGUCCCUCCCUGACGGUGCUGCCCCCCUCCAGUGAGGAGCUGGAGCAGGGGAAGGCCACGCUCAUGUGUCUGGCCAACAAGGGCUUCCCCUCAGACUGGAGUCUGUCCUGGAAGGUGGACGGCAGCAGCAGCAGCAGCAGCAGCAGCAGCUGGGAGGAGAGCAGGAGCCCCGGGGUGCUGGAGAAGGACGGCCGCUACAGCUGGAGCAGCACCCUGAGGCUCUCUGCAGACCAGUGGAGGAAGGUGGGCUCUGUGACCUGUGAGGCCACCCAGGGCUCCCAGACUCCACUCUCUCAGACACUGAGGAGAGACCAGUGUUCCCAGUCCUGACCUGACUCACUUUGACUCUGCUGCUGGUUUUAAUCUGCUACUGCUCUGAGUCUGCAACUCUCUCUCUCACUCUCUUUCUCUCUUUUUCUCUUGAAUGCUUGAGUAAAUGUUGAUGGUUUCAAGAUAUUAAAAAAAGUAAAGAUUUCAUCAAACCAGAGGUUUCCAUGAGGUUAUUUUCACUUUAUCAUUUCUUGUACACGCUGAGCUUUACAAUAUAUUAUAUGGAAACAUUGCACAUAAAUAUUAGCAAACUAAACUAACAUGCAACUAACAUAAUAUUUAGUCAAUUACACGUAAAAGUCCCCCAAAGACAAAGAAAAAGUGAUAACGAAAAAACAGUUGACAUGUAUUUUAAAAAUAUUCUAGCUUUGGUCCAGUUAGCGAACAGAUUAGUGACACCUUUAGACAAAAAAUCACAUUCAAGUGUAUCCUGAUCUUUGAAAAGCUUUUGACAUUGUAGAAACAAACAUAUAAUUAAAUAGGUUUUAAGCAACAUAGGGUGAGGUCUUCCACAAGGUUCAGUUCUGGUCCCUCAUGUAUUUCCUACAUUGUCAGUGAUUUGUGUUUGAUGUCAAAUGAAGUCUCUGGUGGGUUUCUUCUACAAGCCCUCAGUUCAUCACAGCUGUACAUUUCCUUAUGUUACUUUAUAUUUUGUCUUGUUUUAUCAUAGACACAAAUAAAAAAACAAUAAGGACGGCAAAGCAGAAACAUUACAUAACAUAGGAUGUCAUGAACAUAUAUUUUAAAAAUAGCUAUUGUGAGUAUCUCACUUAAUCUUACAAUUUUAAAAUAGCUUACACCAUUCAGGUUCAUUCAGGUACAGUUGUUGCUCAAAUGUUGCAAAUCAGAGCAACAGCCCCUCAAAAUAUCUGUGCAAAGUCCUUGUUACUGAUUGAGCUCAUUUGUACACUAUAGUUUGUAUAUUUUAUAUGUGUUGGUCAUUAUGUGUCACAUGUAUUUCUUUUGAUUGAUUUGUGCUGUAUUUCAUUUAUAUGUGCUACUGAUCCGUUUACCUAAGCUGUUAAAUAACAUUAUUAUCAAUAAAAAUAAAAAUCUGUAGAACUUGAGUCCGUCUGAGCUGUGCAGCAGUCAUGUGUCACUGACGUCGCUUGAGACUGACGGCGUAAUCAUGGAGGAUUUCUCUUCCCAGGUUAAAGCGAUGAAAGCAGAGC